This 741-nucleotide ribosomal RNA is filed under the name Lactiplantibacillus plantarum. RNAcentral's name for it is "bacterial SSU rRNA". It matches the Rfam family "Bacterial small subunit ribosomal RNA", at positions 51 to 758 of the family's 1533-position model. The record is from RNAcentral. Lineage: Bacteria; Bacillati; Bacillota; Bacilli; Lactobacillales; Lactobacillaceae.
AUACAUGCAAGUCGAACGAACUCUGGUAUUGAUUGGUGCUUGCAUCAUGAUUUACAUUUGAGUGAGUGGCGAACUGGUGAGUAACACGUGGGAAACCUGCCCAGAAGCGGGGGAUAACACCUGGAAACAGAUGCUAAUACCGCAUAACAACUUGGACCGCAUGGUCCGAGUUUGAAAGAUGGCUUCGGCUAUCACUUUUGGAUGGUCCCGCGGCGUAUUAGCUAGAUGGUGAGGUAACGGCUCACCAUGGCAAUGAUACGUAGCCGACCUGAGAGGGUAAUCGGCCACAUUGGGACUGAGACACGGCCCAAACUCCUACGGGAGGCAGCAGUAGGGAAUCUUCCACAAUGGACGAAAGUCUGAUGGAGCAACGCCGCGUGAGUGAAGAAGGGUUUCGGCUCGUAAAACUCUGUUGUUAAAGAAGAACAUAUCUGAGAGUAACUGUUCAGGUAUUGACGGUAUUUAACCAGAAAGCCACGGCUAACUACGUGCCAGCAGCCGCGGUAAUACGUAGGUGGCAAGCGUUGUCCGGAUUUAUUGGGCGUAAAGCGAGCGCAGGCGGUUUUUUAAGUCUGAUGUGAAAGCCUUCGGCUCAACCGAAGAAGUGCAUCGGAAACUGGGAAACUUGAGUGCAGAAGAGGACAGUGGAACUCCAUGUGUAGCGGUGAAAUGCGUAGAUAUAUGGAAGAACACCAGUGGCGAAGGCGGCUGUCUGGCUGUAACUGACGCUGAGGCUCGAAA